Molecule: ribosomal RNA, 440 nt
Filed under: uncultured bacterium
Lineage: Bacteria
Description: partial 16S ribosomal RNA
Rfam family: Bacterial small subunit ribosomal RNA
Source: RNAcentral
CCUACGGGAGGCAGCAGUAGGGAAUAUUGCUCAAUGGGCGAAACUCUGAAGCAGCAACGCCGCGUGGAGGAUGAAGGUUUUCGGAUUGUAAACCUCUUUUGUUAGAGAAGAUAAUGACGGUAUCUAACGAAUAAGCACCGGAUAAUUCCGUGCCAGCAGCCGCGGUAAUACGGGGGGUGCAAGCGUUACUCGGAAUCACUGGGCGUAAAGAGCGCGUAGGCGGGAUAGCAAGUCAGAUGUGAAAUCCUAUGGCUUAACCAUAGAACUGCAUUUGAAACUGUUAUUCUAGAGUAGGGGAGAGGUAGGUGGAAUUCUUGGUGUAGGGGUAAAAUCCGUAGAGAUCAAGAGGAAUACUCAUUGCGAAGGCGACCUGCUAGAACAUAACUGACGCUGAUGCGCGAAAGCGUGGGGAGCAAACAGGAUUAGAUACCCUGGUAGUC